This 492-nucleotide ribosomal RNA is filed under the name uncultured bacterium. RNAcentral's name for it is "partial 16S ribosomal RNA". It matches the Rfam family "Bacterial small subunit ribosomal RNA", at positions 29 to 507 of the family's 1533-position model. The record is from RNAcentral.
AGUGAACGCUGGCGGUAGGCCUAACACAUGCAAGUCGAACGGCAGCACAGUAAGAGCUUGCUCUUACGGGUGGCGAGUGGCGGACGGGUGAGGAAUACAUCGGAAUCUACUUUUUCGUGGGGGAUAACGUAGGGAAACUUACGCUAAUACCGCAUACGACCUACGGGUGAAAGCAGGGGAUCUUCGGACCUUGCGCGAUUGAAUGAGCCGAUGUCGGAUUAGCUAGUUGGCGGGGUAAAGGCCCACCAAGGCGACGAUUCGUAGCUGGUCUGAGAGGAUGAUCAGCCACACUGGAACUGAGACACGGUCCAGACUCCUACGGGAGGCAGCAGUGGGGAAUAUUGGACAAUGGGCGCAAGCCUGAUCCAGCCAUACCGCGUGGGUGAAGAAGGCCUUCGGAUUGUAAAGCCCUUUUGUUGGGAAAGAAAAGCAGCAGGUUAAUACCCCGCUGUUCUGACGGUACCCAAAGAAUAAGCACCGGCUAACUUCGUG